UUAAUAAGCGGAGGAAAAGAAACUAACAAGGAUUCCCUCAGUAACGGCGAGUGAAGCGGGAAGAGCUCAAAUUUGAAAUCUCCGAUGCCCGCAUCGGCGAGUUGUAGUUGCGAGAAGCACUUUCUAGGCGGACUCGGCCCUGCCUAAGUUGCUUGGAACGGCACGUCGCAGAGGGUGACAACCCCGUCUGUGGCAGGGCCGGCCGCCGACGAUGCGCUUUCGAAGAGUCGGGUUGUUUGGGAAUGCAGCCCAAAAGGGGUGGUAAACUCCAUCUAAAGCUAAAUACUGGCGUGAGACCGAUAGCGA
RNAcentral lists this ribosomal RNA (306 nucleotides) under Pseudodiploria clivosa. RNAcentral describes it as "eukaryotic LSU rRNA". It matches the Rfam family "Eukaryotic large subunit ribosomal RNA", at positions 43 to 343 of the family's 3401-position model. The record is from RNAcentral. Lineage: Eukaryota; Metazoa; Cnidaria; Anthozoa; Scleractinia; Faviidae.